RNAcentral lists this ribosomal RNA (490 nucleotides) under uncultured bacterium. RNAcentral describes it as "partial 16S ribosomal RNA". It matches the Rfam family "Bacterial small subunit ribosomal RNA", at positions 30 to 507 of the family's 1533-position model. The record is from RNAcentral.
AUUGAACGCUGGCGGCAGGCCUAACACAUGCAAGUCGAACGGUAACAGGAAGCAGCUUGCUGCUUUGCUGACGAGUGGCGGACGGGUGAGUAAUGUCUGGGAAACUGCCCGAUGGAGGGGGAUAACUACUGGAAACGGUAGCUAAUACCGCAUAACGUCGCAAGACCAAAGAGGGGGACCUUAGGGCCUCUUGCCAUCGGAUGUGCCCAGAUGGGAUUAGCUAGUAGGUGGGGUAACGGCUCACCUAGGCGACGAUCCCUAGCUGGUCUGAGAGGAUGAACAGCCACACUGGAACUGGGACACGGUCCAGACUCCUACGGGAGGCAGCAGUGGGGAAUAUUGCACAAUGGGCGCAAGCCUGAUGCAGCCAUGCCGCGUGUAUGAAGAAGGCCUUCGGGUUGUAAAGUACUUUCAGCGGGGAGGAAGGGAGUAAAGUUAAUACCUUUGCUCAUUGACGUUACCCGCAGAAGAAGCACCGGCUAACUCCGUG